GAGCUGUUUAUACUGUUGUGAAGAUCAUUUCAAUAUUGAAGAGGAUACAGAAAAUUAUAUUAAAUACAAAAUAAUGGCAUUAGAACAUGGACAAAAAGUGAAGUUGCGAU
This is a long non-coding RNA of Trichoplusia ni (cabbage looper), 110 nucleotides long. RefSeq lists it as uncharacterized. The transcript is spliced from 2 exons. NCBI's taxonomy places the organism in Eukaryota, Metazoa, Arthropoda, Insecta, Lepidoptera, Noctuidae. The record is from RefSeq and is a predicted model, not a curated record.